GUACAGUCCAUCUUGGAGCCUACGUGUGGUGACCUCUCUGAAGGUCCAAUGAUCGGUCUCCUCAUCCCGAGGAGUCUUGAAUCGGUAGUAUGACUACAAAUAAAAGAUGACAUAUAUUAAUAAAUAGAAUACAAAUAUACCAUGAAUUUAAAAAUUAAAAAUUUUUGACUUACCAUGAACAUCUCCCAUGCAGCAUCACGAGCCCCUAAUGGCCAACUAGAGAACUCAUUCACCGACCCCAGCAUCA
This 247-nucleotide long non-coding RNA is filed under the name Elaeis guineensis (African oil palm). RNAcentral describes it as "long non-coding RNA (EGUI_LNC058269)". Lineage: Eukaryota; Viridiplantae; Streptophyta; Magnoliopsida; Arecales; Arecaceae. The record is from RNAcentral.